This 440-nucleotide ribosomal RNA is filed under the name uncultured bacterium. RNAcentral describes it as "partial 16S ribosomal RNA". It matches the Rfam family "Bacterial small subunit ribosomal RNA", at positions 338 to 795 of the family's 1533-position model. The record is from RNAcentral.
CCUACGUGCGGCAGCAGUGGGGAAUAUUGGACAAUGGGGGAAACCCUGAUCCAGCGACGCCGCGUGAGUGAAGAAGUAUUUCGGUACGUAAAGCUCUAUCAGCAGGAAAGAAAAUGACGGUACCUGACUAAGAAGCCCCGGCUACCUACGUGCCAGCCGCCGCGGUAAUACGUAGGGGGCAAGCGUUAUCCGGAUUUACUGGGUGUCAGGGGAGCGGAGACGGCAGCGCAAGUCUGGAGUGAACUGCCGGGGCCCAACCCCGGAGCUGCUCUGGAAACUGUGAAGCUGGAGUGCAGGAGAGGUAAGCGGACUUCCUGUUGUAGCGGUGACAUGCGUAGAUAUCAGGCGGAACACCGGCGGCGAAUGCGGCUUACUGGACUGUACCUGACGUUGAGGCUCGAAGGCGUGGGGAGCAAACAGGCUUAGAUACCCCUGUAGUC